ACUCAAAUGAAUUGACGGGGGCCCGCACAAGCAGUGGAGCAUGUGGUUUAAUUCGACGAUACGCGAAGAACCUUACCAGGGCUUGACAGCUACGGAAUUUUUAGGAAACUAAGAAGUGCCCGCAAGGGAGCCGUAAGACAGGUGGUGCAUGGCUGUCGUCAGCUCGUGUCGUGAGAUGUUGGGUUAAGUCCCGCAACGAGCGCAACCCCCAUUCUGUGUUGCCAGCACCUCGGGUGGGAACUCACAGGAGACUGCCUGUAAAAAGCAGGAGGAAGGUGGGGAUGACGUCAAGUCAUCAUGCCCCUUACGCCCUGGGCUACACACAUGCUACAAUGGCCGGCACAAAGGGUCGCGAAGCCGCAAGGUGAAGCUAAUCUCAAAAAACCGGCCUCAGUUCGGAUUGUAGUCUGCAACUCGACUACAUGAAGUUGGAAUUGCUAGUAAACGCAGAUCAGCUACGCUGCGUUGAAUACGUUCCCGGGCCUUGUACACACCGCCCGU
This 501-nucleotide ribosomal RNA is filed under the name uncultured bacterium. RNAcentral's name for it is "partial 16S ribosomal RNA". It matches the Rfam family "Bacterial small subunit ribosomal RNA", at positions 899 to 1397 of the family's 1533-position model. The record is from RNAcentral.